Molecule: transfer RNA, 72 nt
Filed under: bacterium
Lineage: Bacteria
Also listed under: 4 other names
Description: tRNA-Ile
Rfam family: tRNA
About the family: Transfer RNA (tRNA) molecules are approximately 80 nucleotides in length. Their secondary structure includes four short double-helical elements and three loops (D, anti-codon, and T loops).
Source: RNAcentral
GGACCCGUAGCUCAACGGCAGAGCAGCGGACUCAUAAUCCGUUGGUUGGUGGUUCGAAUCCGCCCGGGUCCA